RNAcentral lists this ribosomal RNA (254 nucleotides) under uncultured bacterium. RNAcentral's name for it is "partial 16S ribosomal RNA". It matches the Rfam family "Bacterial small subunit ribosomal RNA", at positions 524 to 778 of the family's 1533-position model. The record is from RNAcentral.
UACGAAGGGGCUAGCGUUGCUCGGAAUUACUGGGCGUAAAGCGCACGUAGGCGGAUUGUUAAGUCGGGGGUGAAAUCCUGGAGCUCAACUCCAGAACUGCCUUCGAUACUGGCGAUCUCGAGUUCGGGAGAGGUGAGUGGAACUGCGAGUGUAGAGGUGAAAUUCGUAGAUAUUCGCAAGAACACCAGUGGCGAAGGCGGCUCACUGGCCCGAUACUGACGCUGAGGUGCGAAAGCGAGGGGAGCGUAGAGGAA